Molecule: ribosomal RNA, 160 nt
Filed under: Uncultured bacterium OL3_20F
Lineage: Bacteria
Description: partial 16S ribosomal RNA
Rfam family: Bacterial small subunit ribosomal RNA
Source: RNAcentral
UAGGGAAUCUUCCACAAUGGGCGCAAGCCUGAUGGAGCAACGCCGCGUGAGUGAAGAAGGGUUUCGGCUCGUAAAGCUCUGUUGUUGGAGAAGAACGUGUGUGAGAGUAACUGUUCACGCAGUGACGGUAUGGAACCGGAAAGCCACGGCNNNCCACGNG